AUAAGCCUGCGGUGUUCGUGUAUGGUAUGUCAUAUUGUAGUUCCAACACUACUGAGCAUGGAAUCUCUAAUCUGCAGGUUGAUAUCAUGCUUCUUUACGAAGUAGAUAGAUACCUGUAUGCGGGAAUCCACCUUUACCAAGGGAGCUCAAAUAUUCAUACCACUACGGCACACGCGGGUUACUA
RNAcentral lists this non-coding RNA (184 nucleotides) under Spirochaetota bacterium. RNAcentral describes it as "6S RNA". It matches the Rfam family "6S / SsrS RNA". From Rfam's summary of the family: E. coli 6S RNA was the first non coding RNA to be sequenced, but its function was unknown until recently. The record is from RNAcentral. Lineage: Bacteria; Pseudomonadati; Spirochaetota.